GUCACACCCUGUUCUUGAGUUGGCCUCACACAGAUCACACACAGACAUGAGUGUGCCCACUCAGCUCCUGGGGUUGCUGCUGCUGUGGCUUACAGAUGCCAGGUGUGACAUCCAGAUGACCCAGGCUCCAGCCUCCCUGUCUGCAUCUGUGGGAGAAACUGUUUCCAUCUCAUGUCGAGCAAGUGAAAACAUUAACAGCUAUUUAGCAUGGUAUCAGCAGAAACCAGGGAAAUCUCCUCAGCUCCUGAUCUAUGCUGCAACUAGCUUGGAAGUUGGUGUGCCAUCGAGGUUCAGUGGCAGUGGAGCUGGCACACAGUAUUCUCUCAAGAUCAACAGCCUGCAGGCUGAAGAUGUUGCAACUUAUUACUGUCUACAGCAUCGUAAAACCCCUCCCACAGUGAUUUAAGCCAUGACAUAAACCACCCAGGGAAGCAGAAGUGAGAUCACAGGCUGCCCAACUGUCCUUAGGAUGUCUCCAGCUGUUCAUCUGCCGAAAGUGUUUCUCUUUGCCAGGGCUUAAAGGUUAAUGUGAUAUUUUUAUAUAGUGAUCAGAGAAACGUUUAUAUGUCCCUCAGGCCUAGUAUCAAAACAAGGGAAUGGUUUACAUGACUCAUUAAAAGGGAAAAAAAACAAUAAAA
Mastomys coucha (southern multimammate mouse) is the source of this 638-nucleotide non-coding RNA. Lineage: Eukaryota; Metazoa; Chordata; Mammalia; Rodentia; Muridae. The record is from the annotation of a RefSeq genome assembly.